UGAGUACGAGUUGCUACGGCAGCGAAGUGGGUGAUGUCAAGCUUCCAAGAAAAGCCCUAUACCCGUUAAGGCAUGAUGGCCUGUACCCGAAACCGACACAGGUGGGGUGGUAGAGAAUACCGAGGGGCGCGAGAUAACUCUCUCUAAGGAACUCGGCAAAAUGGCCCCGUAACUUCGGGAGAAGGGGUGCCACCGCAAGGUGGUCGCAGUGAAGAGGCCCAGGCGACUGUUUACCAAAAACACAGGUCUCCGCUAAGUCGCAAGACGAUGUAUGGGGGCUGACGCCUGCCCAGUGCCGGAAGGUUAAGGAAGCUGGUCAGCGUAAGCGAAGCUAGCGACUGAAGCCCCGGUGAACGGCGGCCGUAACUAUAACGGUCCUAAGGUAGCGAAAUUCCUUGUCGGGUAAGUUCCGACCCGCACGAAAGGCGUAACGAUCUGGGCGCUGUCUCGGAGAGAGGCUCGGCGAAAUAGAAUUGUCUGUGAAGAUGCGGACUACGUGCACCCGGACAGAAAGACCCUAUGAAGCUUUACUGUAGCUUGGUAUUGUGCUCGGGCUCGGAAUGCGCAGGAUAGGUGGGAGGCUAUGAACCAUUGCUUGUGGGUGAUGGUGAGCCACUGGUGAGAUACCACUCUUUCCGAGCUAGAGUUCUAACAGCCACCCGUUAUCCGGGGGCUGGACAGUAUCAGGUGGGCAGUUUGACUGGGGCGGUCGCCUCCUAAAAGGUAACGGAGGCGCGCAAAGGUUUGCUCAGGCUGGUUGGAAAUCAGCCGACGAGUGUAAAAGCAGAAGCAAGCUUGACUGUGAGACCUACAAGUCGAACAGGGAGGAAACUCGGCUUUAGUGAUCCGACGGUUCUGCGUGGAACGGCCGUCGCUCAACGGAUAAAAGUUACUCUAGGAUAACAGGCUGAUCUCCCCCAAGAGUUCACAUCGACGGGGAGGUUUGGCACCUCGAUGUCGGCUCAUCGCAACCUGGGGCUGAAGUCGGUCCCAAGGGUUGGGCUGUUCGCCCAUUAAAGCGGUACGCGAGCUGGGUUCAGAACGUCGUGAGACAGUUCGGUCCAUAUCCGGUGCAUGCGCAGGAAUAUUGAGAGGAUUUCUCCCUAGUACGAGAGGACCGGGAGGAACGCACCUCUGGUGUACCAGUUAUCGUGCCAACGGUAAACGCUGGGUAGCCAUGUGCGGAGAGGAUAACCGCUGAAAGCAUCUAAGUGGGAAGCCCACCUCAAGAUGAGUAUUCCCAUGGGGUAACCCAGUAAGGUCACGGGAAGAACACCCGUUGAUAGGCUCUACGUGGAAGCGCAGUAAUGUGUGAAGCGGAGGAGUACUAAUAGACC
Molecule: ribosomal RNA, 1337 nt
Filed under: metagenome
Description: bacterial LSU rRNA
Rfam family: Bacterial large subunit ribosomal RNA
Source: RNAcentral